This 2902-nucleotide ribosomal RNA is filed under the name Escherichia coli. Its description in RNAcentral is "bacterial LSU rRNA". It matches the Rfam family "Bacterial large subunit ribosomal RNA". The record is from RNAcentral. Lineage: Bacteria; Pseudomonadati; Pseudomonadota; Gammaproteobacteria; Enterobacterales; Enterobacteriaceae.
UUAAGCGACUAAGCGUACACGGUGGAUGCCCUGGCAGUCAGAGGCGAUGAAGGACGUGCUAAUCUGCGAUAAGCGUCGGUAAGGUGAUAUGAACCGUUAUAACCGGCGAUUUCCGAAUGGGGAAACCCAGUGUGUUUCGACACACUAUCAUUAACUGAAUCCAUAGGUUAAUGAGGCGAACCGGGGGAACUGAAACAUCUAAGUACCCCGAGGAAAAGAAAUCAACCGAGAUUCCCCCAGUAGCGGCGAGCGAACGGGGAGCAGCCCAGAGCCUGAAUCAGUAUGUGUGUUAGUGGAAGCGUCUGGAAAGGCGCGCGAUACAGGGUGACAGCCCCGUACACAAAAAUGCACAUGCUGUGAGCUCGAUGAGUAGGGCGGGACACGUGGUAUCCUGUCUGAAUAUGGGGGGACCAUCCUCCAAGGCUAAAUACUCCUGACUGACCGAUAGUGAACCAGUACCGUGAGGGAAAGGCGAAAAGAACCCCGGCGAGGGGAGUGAAAAAGAACCUGAAACCGUGUACGUACAAGCAGUGGGAGCACGCUUAGGCGUGUGACUGCGUACCUUUUGUAUAAUGGGUCAGCGACUUAUAUUCUGUAGCAAGGUUAACCGAAUAGGGGAGCCGAAGGGAAACCGAGUCUUAACUGGGCGUUAAGUUGCAGGGUAUAGACCCGAAACCCGGUGAUCUAGCCAUGGGCAGGUUGAAGGUUGGGUAACACUAACUGGAGGACCGAACCGACUAAUGUUGAAAAAUUAGCGGAUGACUUGUGGCUGGGGGUGAAAGGCCAAUCAAACCGGGAGAUAGCUGGUUCUCCCCGAAAGCUAUUUAGGUAGCGCCUCGUGAAUUCAUCUCCGGGGGUAGAGCACUGUUUCGGCAAGGGGGUCAUCCCGACUUACCAACCCGAUGCAAACUGCGAAUACCGGAGAAUGUUAUCACGGGAGACACACGGCGGGUGCUAACGUCCGUCGUGAAGAGGGAAACAACCCAGACCGCCAGCUAAGGUCCCAAAGUCAUGGUUAAGUGGGAAACGAUGUGGGAAGGCCCAGACAGCCAGGAUGUUGGCUUAGAAGCAGCCAUCAUUUAAAGAAAGCGUAAUAGCUCACUGGUCGAGUCGGCCUGCGCGGAAGAUGUAACGGGGCUAAACCAUGCACCGAAGCUGCGGCAGCGACGCUUAUGCGUUGUUGGGUAGGGGAGCGUUCUGUAAGCCUGCGAAGGUGUGCUGUGAGGCAUGCUGGAGGUAUCAGAAGUGCGAAUGCUGACAUAAGUAACGAUAAAGCGGGUGAAAAGCCCGCUCGCCGGAAGACCAAGGGUUCCUGUCCAACGUUAAUCGGGGCAGGGUGAGUCGACCCCUAAGGCGAGGCCGAAAGGCGUAGUCGAUGGGAAACAGGUUAAUAUUCCUGUACUUGGUGUUACUGCGAAGGGGGGACGGAGAAGGCUAUGUUGGCCGGGCGACGGUUGUCCCGGUUUAAGCGUGUAGGCUGGUUUUCCAGGCAAAUCCGGAAAAUCAAGGCUGAGGCGUGAUGACGAGGCACUACGGUGCUGAAGCAACAAAUGCCCUGCUUCCAGGAAAAGCCUCUAAGCAUCAGGUAACAUCAAAUCGUACCCCAAACCGACACAGGUGGUCAGGUAGAGAAUACCAAGGCGCUUGAGAGAACUCGGGUGAAGGAACUAGGCAAAAUGGUGCCGUAACUUCGGGAGAAGGCACGCUGAUAUGUAGGUGAAGUCCCUCGCGGAUGGAGCUGAAAUCAGUCGAAGAUACCAGCUGGCUGCAACUGUUUAUUAAAAACACAGCACUGUGCAAACACGAAAGUGGACGUAUACGGUGUGACGCCUGCCCGGUGCCGGAAGGUUAAUUGAUGGGGUCAGCGCAAGCGAAGCUCUUGAUCGAAGCCCCGGUAAACGGCGGCCGUAACUAUAACGGUCCUAAGGUAGCGAAAUUCCUUGUCGGGUAAGUUCCGACCUGCACGAAUGGCGUAAUGAUGGCCAGGCUGUCUCCACCCGAGACUCAGUGAAAUUGAACUCGCUGUGAAGAUGCAGUGUACCCGCGGCAAGACGGAAAGACCCCGUGAACCUUUACUAUAGCUUGACACUGAACAUUGAGCCUUGAUGUGUAGGAUAGGUGGGAGGCUUUGAAGUGUGGACGCCAGUCUGCAUGGAGCCGACCUUGAAAUACCACCCUUUAAUGUUUGAUGUUCUAACGUUGACCCGUAAUCCGGGUUGCGGACAGUGUCUGGUGGGUAGUUUGACUGGGGCGGUCUCCUCCUAAAGAGUAACGGAGGAGCACGAAGGUUGGCUAAUCCUGGUCGGACAUCAGGAGGUUAGUGCAAUGGCAUAAGCCAGCUUGACUGCGAGCGUGACGGCGCGAGCAGGUGCGAAAGCAGGUCAUAGUGAUCCGGUGGUUCUGAAUGGAAGGGCCAUCGCUCAACGGAUAAAAGGUACUCCGGGGAUAACAGGCUGAUACCGCCCAAGAGUUCAUAUCGACGGCGGUGUUUGGCACCUCGAUGUCGGCUCAUCACAUCCUGGGGCUGAAGUAGGUCCCAAGGGUAUGGCUGUUCGCCAUUUAAAGUGGUACGCGAGCUGGGUUUAGAACGUCGUGAGACAGUUCGGUCCCUAUCUGCCGUGGGCGCUGGAGAACUGAGGGGGGCUGCUCCUAGUACGAGAGGACCGGAGUGGACGCAUCACUGGUGUUCGGGUUGUCAUGCCAAUGGCACUGCCCGGUAGCUAAAUGCGGAAGAGAUAAGUGCUGAAAGCAUCUAAGCACGAAACUUGCCCCGAGAUGAGUUCUCCCUGACUCCUUGAGAGUCCUGAAGGAACGUUGAAGACGACGACGUUGAUAGGCCGGGUGUGUAAGCGCAGCGAUGCGUUGAGCUAACCGGUACUAAUGAACCGUGAGGCUUAACCUU